Molecule: non-coding RNA, 93 nt
Organism: Salmo salar (Atlantic salmon)
Lineage: Eukaryota; Metazoa; Chordata; Actinopteri; Salmoniformes; Salmonidae
Source: Rfam
UUCCCUGUAGCUCAGUUGGUAGAGCAUGGUGUCUGCAACGCCAGCAUGGUGUGUGCAACGCCAGGGUUGUGGGUUCGAUUCCCACAGGGGGGC